CGAAGGGGGCUAGCGUUGUUCGGAAUCACUGGGCGUAAAGCGUGCGCAGGCGGCUAUGCAAGUCAGGGGUGAAAUGCCAAGGCUUAACCUUGGAACUGCCUUUGAAACUGCAUAGCUAGAGUCCCGGAGGGGUUAGUGGAAUUCCUAAUGUAGCAGUGAAAUGCGUAGAUGUUAGGAGGAACACCAGUGGCGAAGGCGGCUAACUGGACGGGUACUGACGCUCAUGCACGAAAGCGUGGGGAUCAAACAGGAUUAGAUACCCUGGUGGUCCACGCCCUAAACGAUGGGUGCUAGCCGUUGGGAGUUCAGCUCUCGGUGGCGUAGCUAACGCGUUAAGCACCCCGCCUGGGGAGUACGGUCGCAAGACUA
RNAcentral lists this ribosomal RNA (369 nucleotides) under uncultured organism. RNAcentral describes it as "bacterial SSU rRNA". It matches the Rfam family "Bacterial small subunit ribosomal RNA", at positions 526 to 896 of the family's 1533-position model. The record is from RNAcentral.